CCCCCUCACUUUGGGGUCGUCCCCCCCCCCCCCUCCUCCCUCCACCUCCUCAUGAAGCGCAGUUUGGGGGGUCCCCCCCCGACCCCCCCCCCUCCUCCCUCCUCCUCCCCCCCCCCUCCAGAGGGUGGGCGGGGAUGGGGGGGCGGGGGGGGGGCGGCGGCGUCGUCCUCAUCGCUGAGGUCGGUGACCUCCACUUCCUCCGAGUCCACUUCCGGUGGGGUGGGGGGAGGGGUGGACCCCCCCGGGCCAGCCGAGGGGUGCACGUGACCGGAAGCGACCCCGUGGCCGGAAGGAAGCCCCGGACCGGAAGUGACCCCUCGACCGGAAGCGACCCCGGGGCUGACGUUCCCGCGACCCGGAGCGACCCCGUCGCCUUCGCCCCCGCCGUGACCUGAGGUGACCCCUUGACCUGAGGUGACCCCGUGACCUGAGACGACCCCGUGAGCUUUGGUAACCUCUUGACCGGAAGUGACCCCGUGACCGGGCGUGACCCCAGCUGCCUCUCCUUGACCCGAAGUGACCCCGUGACCCGAAGUGACCCCGGGAGCCUCUCCUUGACCUGAGGUGACCCCAUGACCUGCAGUAACCCCGGGAGCCUCUCCUUGACCCGAAGUGACCCCAUGACCGGAAGUAACCCCACCAGCCUCAUUCUGACCUGAAGUGACCUCGCGACCCGCAGUAACCCCAUGACCGGAAGUAACCCCAGAAGCCUCACUUUCACCCGAAGUAACCCCGUGACCCGAGGUAACCGCGUGACCGGAAGUACCCCCGUGACCCGAAGUAACCCCACCUCCCUCUCCUUUCCCCCUCCCCCUCCUCCCGGGCGGGGGGGGCUGCAACUUAAAGGCGAAGGGGGGGGGAGGGGGGGUCGGGGGGGGGUCCCGAUGGGGGUCCCGAUGGGGGUGGGGGGGGGGGCGGGGGGGGGGAGGGGCCAAAAAGGGGCGGGGGCUGAGAUGGUACGCGCACACCCGGGCGGCCAAACAGCGCGCCAGGUCUUCCGCACUGAAGGAGAAGUGGGGGGACCCCCCCCCACCGCCGCCCCCCCCCCCCGAAGUGGGGAGACCCCCCCGAGCCGAAGUGGGGCGACCCCCCCCCAAAGUGCGGCGACCCCCCCCCCGAAAUGAGGCGACCCCCCCCCCGAAAAGAGGGCUGGGGGUGGGGGAGGGGCUGUAAGGCAGCUGUGGGGAUAGGGGGGCCAACAGAGCCCCCCCCGACCCGAAGGGGCUGCGGGGGUACAGCCGUAACAAAGUGGGGCCCCCCCCGGGAUCGGCGCUUAACCUGAGGGGGGGUCCCCGAAACGACGGCCCCCCCCCCCACCCCCAUAUCGGGGGGGUCGUCCGGCUCCAAAGCGGCGUCGCUGCAGUCGCUCAGAGACCCCCGGGGUCGGGGAGGGGGGGGGCGGCGGUGGGGGGGGGCGCCGUCUCCUCCUCCUCCUCCCCCCCCCCCCCACCUCCAACCCCCCCCCCAAGAAGGGAGGAAGAGGACGAAGACGGGGAGAGUCCAUCCGGGGGGGGGAAGCGGAAGUGGGGGGGUCCUCCUCCUCCUCCUCCUCCUCCUCCUGAAGACCCCCCCGUGGGGAUGGGGGGAGCGCUGUGGGGGACGGGGGGGCCUG
This 1612-nucleotide long non-coding RNA is filed under the name Gallus gallus (chicken). Its description in RNAcentral is "lncRNA (ENSGALG00010000397.1)". Lineage: Eukaryota; Metazoa; Chordata; Aves; Galliformes; Phasianidae. The record is from RNAcentral.